UACGUAGGCAGCAAGCGUUGUUCGGAGUUACUGGGCGUAAAGGGUGUGUAGGCGGUCUUCUAAGUUUGGUGUGAAAUCUCCCGGCUCAACUGGGAGGGUGCGCCGAAAACUGGGAGGCUAGAGUGCGGGAUGGGAGAGUGGAAUUCCUGGUGUAGCGGUGAAAUGCGUAGAUAUCUGGAGGAACACCGGUGGCGAAGGCGGCAUCCUGGACCGACACUGACGCUGAGGAGCGAAAGCCAGGGGAGCAAACGGG
This 253-nucleotide ribosomal RNA is filed under the name uncultured bacterium. RNAcentral describes it as "partial 16S ribosomal RNA". It matches the Rfam family "Bacterial small subunit ribosomal RNA", at positions 524 to 776 of the family's 1533-position model. The record is from RNAcentral.